RNAcentral lists this ribosomal RNA (254 nucleotides) under uncultured bacterium. RNAcentral describes it as "partial 16S ribosomal RNA". It matches the Rfam family "Bacterial small subunit ribosomal RNA", at positions 524 to 776 of the family's 1533-position model. The record is from RNAcentral.
UACGUAGGGGGCGAGCGUUGUCCGGAUUUAUUGGGCGUAAAAGGCUUGUAGGUGGCCACGUCAAGUCGGCUGUGAAAACUCGAGGCUCAACCUCGAGACGUCGGCGGAAACCAUCUGGCUAGAGUCCGGAAGAGGAGAGUGGAAUUCCUGGUGUAGCGGUGAAAUGCGCAGAUAUCAGGAAGAACACCCGUGGCUAAGGCGGCUCUCUAGUACGGUACUGACGCUGAGACGCGAAAGCGUGGGGAGCAAACAGG